Molecule: non-coding RNA, 108 nt
Organism: Populus trichocarpa (black cottonwood)
Lineage: Eukaryota; Viridiplantae; Streptophyta; Magnoliopsida; Malpighiales; Salicaceae
Source: Rfam
UAAUCUGUUUGAGGCAUAUUACCAUUUAAUUAUAACAAACUCACACAUAAUUGCUCAAAAUCACCCACCAUUGUGUGAAUAAUAACUUAUUAAAAAUUUAAUUAUAGU